AAUGGGAUGUCUGAUAAAGGUAAUAAAUUGUAAAUUUAUUUAUGGUGUUAAAUCCUCUCAUUA
This 63-nucleotide transfer RNA is filed under the name Zecheuna tonkinensis. Its description in RNAcentral is "tRNA-Tyr". The record is from RNAcentral. Lineage: Eukaryota; Metazoa; Arthropoda; Insecta; Hemiptera; Flatidae.